AUACGUAGGGGCCUGACGUUGUUCGGAAUCAUUGGGCGUAAAGGGCGCGCAGGCGGCCGUCCAAGUCCGGUGUUAAAUGGUCGGGCUCAACCCGAUCAUGCGCUGGAAACUGGGCGGCUGGAGUCCCGGAGGGGAUGCCGGAAUUCCAGGUGUAGGGGUGAAAUCUGUAGAUAUCUGGAAGAACACCGAUGGCGAAGGCAGGCAUCUGGCCGGAGACUGACGCUGAGGCGCGAAGGCGCGGGGAGCGAACAGGUUUAGAUACCCUGGUAGUCCGCGCAGUAAACGAUGCGCACCAGGUGUCGGGCGGCAGCGCCCGGUACCGGAGCAAACGCGAUGAGUGCGCCGCCUGGGGAGUAUGCCCGCAAGGGUGAAACUCAAAUGAAUUGACGGGG
This 392-nucleotide ribosomal RNA is filed under the name uncultured bacterium. Its description in RNAcentral is "partial 16S ribosomal RNA". It matches the Rfam family "Bacterial small subunit ribosomal RNA", at positions 523 to 918 of the family's 1533-position model. The record is from RNAcentral.